CCAGUCUUCACAAAGUGUCUUUUAUCUGAAAAGACAGUGUGUUUACAUUAAAAAGCCUACAGGUACAGGCUAUAGACACCAGAACCACUACAUUAAGCUGUAGUGCUUCUGGUGACUAUAGUGUCCAUUUAAGGUGAGGUAAAUUAGAGAUUAGUGCCACUAAUAAUAUAUUGGAUUGCCUACUUACCACCAGAUGAGGACAAGAGGCUGAUGAUGGGCUCUGU
Molecule: long non-coding RNA, 224 nt
Filed under: Pelobates cultripes (western spadefoot toad)
Lineage: Eukaryota; Metazoa; Chordata; Amphibia; Anura; Pelobatidae
Source: RNAcentral